This is a long non-coding RNA of Chelonia mydas (Green sea turtle), 158 nucleotides long. RefSeq lists it as uncharacterized. The record is from RefSeq and is a predicted model, not a curated record. The transcript has 3 exons. NCBI's taxonomy places the organism in Eukaryota, Metazoa, Chordata, Testudines, Cheloniidae.
UAUAGUUGGGAUUCCAAUGUGCAUUACUUUGCAUUUCACAAUAGAUCAUAACCUUUGCAAAGAUAUGUUACAUGGCAUAUCUAACAUAAAAAUUAUUCCAGUUAUGUCGUAUGUACACUCAUAAGCAUACUUCAUAAGCAUUAUGGGGUACAAUGUCA